GAUGAACGCUGGCGGCGUGCCUAAUACAUGCAAGUCGAGCGAACAGACGGGGAGCUUGCUCCUCUGACGUUAGCGGCGGACGGGUGAGUAACACGUGGAUAACCUACCUAUAAGACUGGGAUAACUUCGGGAAACCGGAGCUAAUACCGGAUAAUAUAUUGAACCGCAUGGUUCAAUAGUGAAAGACGGUUUUGCUGUCACUUAUAGAUGGAUCCGCGCCGCAUUAGCUAGUUGGUAAGGUAACGGCUUACCAAGGCAACGAUGCGUAGCCGACCUGAGAGGGUGAUCGGCCACACUGGAACUGAGACACGGUCCAGACUCCUACGGGAGGCAGCAGUAGGGAAUCUUCCGCAAUGGGCGAAAGCCUGACGGAGCAACGCCGCGUGAGUGAUGAAGGUCUUCGGAUCGUAAAACUCUGUUAUUAGGGAAGAACAAAUGUGUAAGUAACUAUGCACGUCUUGACGGUACCUAAUUAGAAAGCCACGGCUAACUACGUG
RNAcentral lists this ribosomal RNA (497 nucleotides) under uncultured bacterium. Its description in RNAcentral is "partial 16S ribosomal RNA". It matches the Rfam family "Bacterial small subunit ribosomal RNA", at positions 28 to 507 of the family's 1533-position model. The record is from RNAcentral.